GACGAACGCUGGCGGCGUGCUUAACACAUGCAAGUCGAACGGAAAGGCCCUGCUUUUGUGAGGUGCUCGAGUGGCGAACGGGUGAGUAACACGUGAGUAACCUGCCCUUGACUUUGGGAUAACUUCAGGAAACUGGGGCUAAUACCGGAUAGGAGCUCCUGCUGCAUGGUGGGGGUUGGAAAGUUUCGGCGGUUGGGGAUGGACUCGCGGCUUAUCAGCUUGUUGGUGGGGUAGUGGCUUACCAAGGCUUUGACGGGUAGCCGGCCUGAGAGGGUGACCGGCCACAUUGGGACUGAGAUAUGGCCCAGACUCCUACGGGAGGCAGCAGUGGGGAAUAUUGCACAAUGGGCGGAAGCCUGAUGCAGCAACGCCGCGUGCGGGAUGACGGCCUUCGGGUUGUAAACCGCUUUCGCCUGUGACGAAGCGUGAGUGACGGUAAUGGGUAAAGAAGCACCGGCUAACUACGUG
This 468-nucleotide ribosomal RNA is filed under the name uncultured bacterium. Its description in RNAcentral is "partial 16S ribosomal RNA". It matches the Rfam family "Bacterial small subunit ribosomal RNA", at positions 28 to 507 of the family's 1533-position model. The record is from RNAcentral.